UAGCCAUGGUAUGGGCAAGGGAGAAAUAAGUCCUUGAACCGUUCCUAACAUUCGAAAAAAAGUUUCAUCUCUUUUUUGGGAGAAGUUCAUUAUGUCUUGAUUGAGAGU
Magnolia sinica is the source of this 108-nucleotide small nucleolar RNA. NCBI's taxonomy places the organism in Eukaryota, Viridiplantae, Streptophyta, Magnoliopsida, Magnoliales, Magnoliaceae. The record is from RefSeq and is a predicted model, not a curated record.